Molecule: long non-coding RNA, 208 nt
Organism: Carassius auratus (goldfish)
Lineage: Eukaryota; Metazoa; Chordata; Actinopteri; Cypriniformes; Cyprinidae
Exons: 3
Source: RefSeq, a predicted model, not a curated record
AUCAACCUUGUGGUGUCUAACGUGUGGGAUGGUGAUAGAGAAUGUCCUGGAAUGACUUUGUGGCAUUCACUAACAGGCCUCUGUUGGCUUCCUCACACUAAUGGAAUCACUGCGCUAUUGCAAGGUUGGCGCGUUUCUCAAAUCCCCAAAGUUCCCUAUAUGGAUCCUUGGCAGCGAGACUCAUCUCUCAGUAUUCUUCACUAAGGUG